UAGGGAAUAUUGCAUAAUGGGCGAAAGCCUGAUGCAGCAACGCCGCGUGUGCGAUGAAGGCCUUCGGGUUGUAAAGCACUUUUGACCGGGAAGAGGAAGGACGGUACCGGUCGAAUAAGCCUCGGCUAACUACGUGCCAGCAGCCGCGGUAAAACGUAGGAGGCGAGCGUUAUCCGGAUUUACUGGGUGUAAAGCGCGUGCAGGCGGUAGGCUAAGUUGGGUGUGAAAGCUCCUGGCUCAACUAGGAGAGGUCGCUCAAGACUGGCCAACUGGAGAGCAGUAAGGGAAGGUGGAAUUCCGGGUGUAGUGGUGAAAUGCGUAGAUAUCCGGAGAAACACCAGUGGCGAAAGCGGCCUUCUGGACUGCAUCUGACGCUCAGACGCGAAAGCUAGGGGAGCAAACGG
RNAcentral lists this ribosomal RNA (404 nucleotides) under uncultured bacterium. RNAcentral's name for it is "bacterial SSU rRNA". It matches the Rfam family "Bacterial small subunit ribosomal RNA", at positions 355 to 775 of the family's 1533-position model. The record is from RNAcentral.